UUGAUCAUGGCUCAGGAUGAACGCUAGCGGCGUGCUUUAUGCAUGCAAGUCGAACGGUCUUAAGCAAUUAAGAUAGUGGCGAACGGGUGAGUAACGCGUAAGUAACCUACCUCUAAGUGGGGGAUAGCUUCGGGAAACUGAAGGUAAUACCGCAUGUGGUGGGCCGACAUAUGUUGGUUCACUAAAGCCGUAAGGCGCUUGGUGAGGGGCUUGCGUCCGAUUAGCUAGUUGGUGGGGUAAUGGCCUGCCAAGGCUUCGAUCGGUAGCUGGUCUGAGAGGAUGAUCAGCCACACUGGGACUGAGACACGGCCCAGACUCCUACGGGAGGCAGCAGCAAGGAAUCUUGGGCAAUGGGCGAAAGCCUGACCCAGCAACGCCGCGUGAGGGAUGAAGGCUUUCGGGUUGCAAACCUCUUUUCAUAGGGAAGAAUAAUGACGGUACCUGUGGAAUAAGCUUCGGCUAACUACGUGCCAGCAGCCGCGGUAAUACGUAGGAAGCAAGCGUUAUCCGGAUUUAUUGGGCGUAAAGUGAGCGUAGGUGGUCUUUCAAGUUGGAUGUGAAAUUUCCCGGCUUAACCGGGACGAGUCAUUCAAUACUGUUGGACUAGAGUACAGCAGGAGAAAACGGAAUUCCCGGUGUAGUGGUAAAAUGCGUAGAUAUCGGGAGGAACACCAGAGGCGAAGGCGGUUUUCUAGGUUGUCACUGACACUGAGGCUCGAAAGCGUGGGGAGCGAACAGAAUUAGAUACUCUGGUAGUCCACGCCUUAAACUAUGGACACUAGGUAUAGGGAGUAUCGACCCUCUCUGUGCCGAAGCUAACGCUUUAAGUGUCCCGCCUGGGGAGUACGGUCGCAAGGCUAAAACUCAAAGGAAUUGACGG
Molecule: ribosomal RNA, 880 nt
Filed under: uncultured bacterium
Lineage: Bacteria
Description: bacterial SSU rRNA
Rfam family: Bacterial small subunit ribosomal RNA
Source: RNAcentral